GCGACCCCAAGUUAGGCGGGACUACUCGCUGAGUUUAAGCAUAUCAAUAAGCGGAGGAAAAGA
RNAcentral lists this ribosomal RNA (63 nucleotides) under Packera eurycephala. RNAcentral describes it as "partial 25S ribosomal RNA". It matches the Rfam family "Eukaryotic large subunit ribosomal RNA", at positions 1 to 62 of the family's 3401-position model. Lineage: Eukaryota; Viridiplantae; Streptophyta; Magnoliopsida; Asterales; Asteraceae. The record is from RNAcentral.